Long non-coding RNA from Daphnia pulex (common water flea), 5824 nucleotides. RefSeq lists it as uncharacterized. The record is from RefSeq and is a predicted model, not a curated record. Lineage: Eukaryota; Metazoa; Arthropoda; Branchiopoda; Diplostraca; Daphniidae. The transcript has 2 exons.
UUCCCUUGUCGUUUGAAAUUUUGAAUUAAAAACGAAUGAAACGAAAUAAAAACACAAAAGUGAUAAUAACAAUAAGGUCAAUUUUUUUUAAUUUUCUGUUUCUUUCAUUUCGUCGUGUGCGGUGGUAUUGUGUACCAUGUAGCCAAAAAAUACGGCGUAUGGGAAGUCUAUUAAAAUCGAGUUAUAAUGUGAAGAAACGAAGAAAAAAUUGUGUGUGUGUGUGCCCACCGUGUCUCAGACGAUCAAACCGAGAAAGUUUCCCAUUGAUUGGUUUCUCCAUUAAUAAUUCGGGUUCUUUUUUUUCAUUUUAUUUCAUUUUUUCUUCUUGGUUCGUUCUUUUCUUUCCUUUAAUGACUGGAUCGUAAUAAUAAUAAGACUUUGUGCCAUAUAGUUCCAGCUCGGUGUGUGUGUGCUGUGCUGUGUGUGUGUAGUCCAAUAACAAUAAUUGCUGGGUUCCUAUCGCUCGAGCUGCGUAUAGCGUGGGGAGGGGGUUGUUCUGUAUUUUCUGGUCUAGUCCGUCGUUGGUUUCGUUUCUCUGUGUGCCCGCUGUACAGCAGAUCUAUAAGUAGUAGUGUGUGUGUGUGUGUGUAGAGUGUAGAUGCGCUUUAACGAGCCUCGCUUGGGUAUCCGACUGGAAAACAUUUGGCCGGGGCUCCUGGCCGGGUUGGAUUAUAUUUUCUCUCUCUCUCCUUCUCUCUCUUCGCCAUACUCUGUUCUACAUUGGCCAUCUGGCUUAAUUACUUUUUCGGUUCUUCUUCUUCUUCUUCUCUCGGUCAGCCAUUUGAGACGGAGACCAGACACACAACACAUACAUAUAGCUGCUGGACUUGGUGUAUCUAAUACGCUGAUGGCCAUGGUGGUGGUGGUGGUGGUGGGCCUCCUUUUCUUCUUUUCCACCUUGUCUUCGAGGCAUAUCUUAUUUUUUGUUUUUUUCCUUUUCUCUUCGGAGAAAACAGGAGAGCCCCCCCAUUUUUUUUUUUUUUUUACACGAUCGUACAUUCAAAAUUGCUCGACUAUGAAUAGCGAUGAUGGGGUUCUUUUCAGCUGCGGUGCCCACGGAAAAAUAUUUCCGUCAAAUGUAGAACGACAUACAAAGAGGGUUGAAAUUCAAUUUGAUUUGGCUGGUUUUCCUGCAGCUCGUCGUGUCUUGCCCAUUGUGACGUCUAAACACACAGCUAGACAGCAGAGUGAGUGAGUGAGAGAGAGAGAGCCGGGCACAGUCGUAGUGUAAUAUCGCCGUCCUAUCUCGUCAACUUCCCCCUUGAGCUUGGUCUACCCAAUUCUCCUCGCUCGACUGCACGAACCCCGUUCGUCUCCUAUUUUCCUUUUGUGUCGUGUCGUCCCUUUUUCGGAUUAGAUUAGGAGCCGGGCGCUGAAUACGUCGGCGGUGUGUGAGGGAGAUGGACUUAUUGAAAAACAAGUGAUAACCAAAGUGAACGACGGACCAGGGAACGAACGGGAUAAUCCGGUGGAAAUUCGGACCCAUCGACCCCCCUUCAAUCGUUCGCCUUCAACUCUGAAAUGAAUUCAAAUCAAAUCGUCAAUAAUAAAAAGAAGAACUGGGCGCUCUAUAGUUUCGCUCAAAAGGAAAGAGGAAAAAAGAAAAACAUGUUUCCUCUUUUAUGUCUGUGUCAUUUUCUUCUCUUAAUCAUUCAAACAUUUCGUUGCCGCCGCCAUCAUCAUCAUCAUCAUCAUCAUCGUCGGUCUCGACGCCUCCGCUUCCAGCAGCAGCAGCAGCCCCCGGUCGGUCCCCCCUUCUUCCAUUCUCUCCUCCACUCCAUCAGACGGAGCCCCUGAACUCUUCCUUGCCCCCUUGGGGGCGAACGCACGCAGCACGCCCGUCCACCCAGCAGCAGCAGUUUCCCAAGGAGAAGAAGAAGAAAAUUCAUCAGAGCUCAGCGAGGGAUAGAAGCAGCAGCCAGCGGAGAAUGGCGAGAGAUGAGUUGUGCGUUAAGCCCGGCCGGCCGGCCAACCUUUUUUUUAUUUUAUUUUUUUUCUUUGGAGUCUCUGCAGGGCUUGUGAAUAAGGAAAGAUUAGAGAGGAAGGAAGGAGAGGAGAUAGUUUUGAAAUCAUUGGUUGCUCUGUGUGCAUGGAUGCCCGGAUGAGCGCGCCCGGCCGGCUGGGAGAGUUGGGGGGGAGGACGAGAGGUCGUUCAUCAUUCGAUAUAGAAAAAGAAAGAAAAAAUCAGUGACGCUUGAUGGUGGUGGUUGGGUUGCCGGCGCAAGCGAACCCCUUUGGCUUGCCAAAUAAUUAUGACACAGCGGAUGAAGGCCAUAAAUCCGUUCAAAAUUGGAGUCGAGAUUUCCUAUUUUUUUUUUCUUUUUUGUUGUUGUCAAAGAGGAUGGGGGGGACAAACGAAAAGAAAUUAAAUAAAUCAAAAUGAGGAAUUGAUCAUCAAGGCAGAGUGAAACGGAGUGAAAUCAUUCAAAGCGACGGUCUAAUUAAAACAAAAAAAAUCCAGCGGAAAUUCGAGGAAUUUCACGGCGCGUUGGCGAAAAAGAAUGAAAAACGUUUCCACGCAACUCUCGUUGCGACAGCACCUCGGCCGACACCAUCACACGAAGAGAUAAGGCGGAGGAGGAAGAAGCAAAAACUAAAAGAAAAAAAAAAGAAAAUGUAUUUACAUAAAUCCAUCCAGGGGUUUGUUUUUUUUUCGUGUUAUUUCUUUGGGUGCUCAGGGGUUUUUUCUCUCUCAUUCUGGUCUAUACGCAAAAGAACUUGGAACAGAGAAGGAGAGAGAAGAUUGGAAGCGCACACACACGCCCUCGUCUGCCGGCUCGUAAAUCAACCCAUCAUUAAUAUUAAUCACCUGCCUUUUGGUUAUAAGGUUAGACUUGUUUUUUUUCUUUCUCCGCAGCUAUAGUAUAAUAGACGAGAGAGAAAAGAGACGGGGGUGGUGUUGUUGUUCUCCUUGCCUUCUUUCAUUUUUCUUCUUCUUCUACUUUUUCGGUGUUUUUUGGAUAUGUCUUCCGCUGUUGCGGCUGUGCCUGGCGAUGGCAGUAUACAUCUAAUGGAGAGAAAAGAGCCGAGUAAAGUUCCCGGCUGCCAGUGUUUUCACCGUGUGUACCGGGUAGUACGUUGAAAGAAAAGAAGAUUCAUUUCUGGCUCUGCUCUUGGAAAUGCAUCACGUGUACUAUACACAACCCUGCUGGCUGGUAGAGUAUAGGCCAUACGAUAUCGUGUCGCAGACGAGUCUCUCUCCGCGUGUGCACUUCCCCGGGUGAUGGCACUACGGGAAAUCCGCCUAUAGCGCAGCAUAGCUCCUUUUUUUUCUUUUCUUUUUUCUCUCCUGGGCGCGGACUCUCCUCCGCUGGAGAGGAAAACAUAAUUAGUGUAGCCAAGCGCGAGCUAGCGCUUGCAUCAUCGCAGAGAGAGAAGAAGAAGAAGAAGAAAAUGAACGGACUCUUCUUCUUCUUCUACUCUCGGCCAAACGAAAGAAAAAACGCGCACGGACGAGCAGUUUUUCUUCUUCUUUGUUAAUUUCCUUUUGAUUUCUUCCUUCGCCCUCAACAACCCCCUCCCCUCCACAGAGAAAGAAAAAAAGGGAAGUAGCAGCAAGUUUUGUUAUCCUCUUAUAUGCGCGCCAGACACCAGCAGCCCCACCCUGUGAACUGCUGAUGCUACCCAACUUGUUUUUUUUAUUAUUAUUUUCUGAUUUUUUCUUUUUUCUUUUUUUUGACUCUUGAUGGCCUCUACGUGCUUAUAUUUCCAUCCCGAUUCUAGACUUUUUCCUGUCGUCAGUCAGGCCCCCCCCCCCUUUUUGUCCAUACUACCCGAAAAGUUUCCUUCUUUCCGGUUAACUCUCGACAAAUAAAUCGUCAAGGACAACAAUGCGCCGACGCCGCCGCCGCCUCUAUUGUGUAUAUGUAUAUUCCAUUACUUAAUGUUAUAUGUCUCUCCACGUUACGCAAUAAAUAAAAGAAAAAUUUAAUGAAACGAAACUUUUGAAGGGAAAUUUCUUUAUGUUUUGUGUGUGUGGGUUUUGCAAUAAAAGAAGAAAAUCGCGGAAAAAGGCGGAGAUAUUUUCGGUCGGUCGGGCCGGGCGGUUAUUUGGCCGUGCCAGGACUUUGUCGCCUUUUGGGAGCGGCAUCAAUAGGAGAGUAAAAAAGGGAAGAAAAGAACGAUUUGGAACUAUAAAUCAUCGAAUAAUAUUCGGCGCGCACACACACACGCAAGGAUGGAAGAAACUCCUCCCAUCGCCCUCCCUUUUGCUCAUCUAAAACAUGCCAGGCAUUCAGCCCCCCAAUGAGCUAAUUAAGAGUUGGGAAUGGGAACGCGAGCGCCAGCAAAAAAAGAAAAAGAAAAAGAAAAAAAAAACUUGAUGAACGAGUUGAGAGGAUGAAGGGGGGCGGAGGAUAUUUUCAUUUUUUAUUUUUGGGACCCGCGCGCCGCCGCCCGCCGCUGCCGCUGCAAUCGAAAGUUGAGACGGGUCUCCUCGUACCCGAAAGCCCCGGCCCGGCCCGUCUCUCCCAGAACGACAAAGUUAUCCUUCCAUUCGCUAUUUUAUUUUCUCGGCUGAUUUCUGUACCUUGUUAACUUGUUCUCGUCGGUUUGAAAAAAAAAAGAAGAAAAAAGUGGAACAAGUUGGACCCCGAAAACUCUUAACGGCAGCAGCGGCGGCGGUGGCGGCGCAACGACUUGCAUUCAUCAAAGUUUUCGGGGGGAAAAGGAAAUGGAAAAGAGAUCUCGAACUGAACUCACUCCGGUGGCGAUGAACUGCCUAAUCAGAGAGGCACAGCACCAGGUUGGACUACUACUACUACUGCGGUACUACCGUUAUUAACUGCAAUUAAAGAGGGGGCAAAUCAAAAGUCCUGUUGAAAUGUAGAACGAAAUGGAAAACGGCCCAACUUUUUUUUUUUUCAAGAGUUGGUUGGUUGGGGGGGAUGAAACUUUUUCUCGGUCAAUGGGAUUGUAUGCGCAUAAUGGCCGUGUCUAAUCCGACGGAGAGCGCGGGUUGACGCAGCCGUACGGAUGCUGGGCGUAGAAGAAGAGGGGGGCAGCUGUUGACGGACGGAAUGAUGAUUCGCUUUCGAAACUUGGUCGCUCGCUAACUAUCUGUUGGCCAGGCGCCUCGCUCAACUCUCCACCAACCCUCGCUCGCUCGCUCGCUUGCAUCAUAUCCCGCGCAGCUGUUUGUUGCUUGCCAAUUUACUCGACUCAAUAUUUGAAAUGUGAAAAUACCUUUCUGGUUCUUGGUUGCUGCUGCUGGCGGGCCAGCAAAACUUAUUCGCGUUCCACCAGCGGCAUUUCAUUUUCUCUCGAAAAAUUCUUGCAUCUUUUCUUCGUCUUCGUCUUCUUCUGCUUUUGGGACUAAUUCAAUGCCGAACGGACGUGGUGGCGCAAGAAUAUGUGAGCUGUGGGGCUGGCGCUGUUGGAUGAUGAGCGGUUGAGGUGUUGUUCAAAGGCUGGCAGGGGGCAUCCGAAAGUCAUUAAGUCCCGCAGUGAGGCAACAUCAUUCAUCAGGAAAACCAAAAGUAGCAACAGCAGCAAAACUUCCCGGCGGCCAGCAGCAGCAGCGCGAAUGGCCAAAAGCUAUAGAAAAAAAGAAAGAAACUAACUUGAAAAACUCCGACGACGACCAGACACAUAUACGCAUUCAGCUUAGACUGGAGAAAAAGGAAAAUACCCAACAGCAGGAGCAGCCACAGCCACGGUUAUAAUAAUCUCGCGCAAGUCUUAACAACAAAAGGCACACACACGGUUUUGCAAUUGCUCUUGUCGUGUGGAGCUGCUGCCCUCCUGUCUGGGAUUCCACGCCAUUUCGCCCACGGAAAUCUCCGCGUGCUUAUUCCACCAGCGUCACAAAAAUCCCUUUUUUUUU